Molecule: long non-coding RNA, 299 nt
Filed under: Rattus norvegicus (Norway rat)
Lineage: Eukaryota; Metazoa; Chordata; Mammalia; Rodentia; Muridae
Description: long non-coding RNA NONRATT027294
Source: RNAcentral
GGUGCGUCCGUGUGACCCGCUUCCUUCACUUAGGAUCCAACUUCAACAGCUUCUACUGAAGGGCAUAUUAAAGGUGCGUGCUGACAAACAGGUAGACAGACAGACAGACACACACACAUGAAAGGGCUGUGAGGUCAAAUGGACCCCAUAGAACUGAGAAGUGUCAACAUCGAACCAUACGAGGACAGCUGCAGCGUGGAUAGCAUUCAAAGCUGCUACACCGGGAUGGGGAACUCCGAGAAGGGAGCCAUGGACAGUCAAUUUGCUAAUGAAGAUGCCGAAAGUCAGAAGUUCCUGAC